Molecule: long non-coding RNA, 1553 nt
Organism: Mastomys coucha (southern multimammate mouse)
Lineage: Eukaryota; Metazoa; Chordata; Mammalia; Rodentia; Muridae
Exons: 4
Source: RefSeq, a predicted model, not a curated record
CUGAACCUGGGUCUUCUGGAAGAGCAGCAGCCAGAGCUCUUAAUAACCUCUGAGCAUCUCUCCAGCCCCAUGGAAACAAGCUGCUAUGAGUAAAAUUGGAGGAGGCUUUAAAACAAAACAUCCUGGACUUCUUGUUGUGUUCAUUAUGGAGAAAAGUCCCAUCUGAGCAGGAUCUGUUUAAAUGGUUAUUACAAAUAAGGUGCUUCCUCACUUGGCUUCCACGCUCUCAUAAUUAGAUCACCAACUCACCAUAGCUCCAGCUUGACACGCCGUCCGUCCAGUAGGAUGGUGGUAGUCUUAUAGUCUAUUCCUGUGAGGAAGCAGAGGAGUGAGAGUGUCCAUCAUCAACUGCUUCACUGAGGUCCUCCUGCCCAAUACUUCCUCAAAUCCCACAAUGACCCUUGGGGAGCAGAAGGAGGGUGCUCACUGCCCCCAGCUAUGGCUUUCUCAGGCAGCAGCCUAGCCCACGCUGUAUGGCAGCCAUUGGCAAGGCAGAAGCCCGGGUCCAAUGGGGCAUCGGAUACACUCAGGCCACACCAGUCUCUCUAAAGGCUCUGGGUCCAGAAUGCCUGGAAGGAAAUGGUUCACUCCCACUGUGACAUGUCCCUCCUAUAGAUUCUAAGUUGAACCCUCAAAGAAUAACGUACUUUCCAAUUCUUGGAACAUCAACAGGAAGCUGAUCUACGUCCAGCCCUUCAGGAUGGCCGAGGAUAAAUGGAAACACGUCAGUUCUAGGCUUGGCGACCAUUCCUCAGGACCUGUAAAACACUGAAGAUUCACAGCAGAAGGCCAGGUACUGUGAGCAGCUUCUGGGUGACACAGUUGCUGGCCUUGGCAUGGCCAUCUGAGUAUAGUUCCUCUGCUCACAUGGCCAGCCUAUCAAGAACAACCUCCGGCAAGCAGCCACCAUCCUGCAGGGCGGUAAUCACCUGACACAUCAGAGCAAAUUGGAAGCCACAUCUUCGACCCCCAUUUCCUUCCACUGCCACCACGUCAGUAAGGAAGGGCAAAGGGACACAACAGCUGGGACUAAGGCCCAACACAGCAUGGCCCUGUGGCUGAAGACCACCUGGAGCUCCUGAAUGUGCUUCACUACCUAGAAGACUACCUAGAAACAAGCCUUUACAGACGACUUAGAGACAAACGGAUCGAUUAAAGCCUGAGAGGGACCCAACCCACCCUUGCUGGCUCUGAAGAUGAGGGAAGGGUGCCCUCUAUAACUUAGAAACCAGAAAAAGACCAAAACUUUAGUUUUACAAGCAUAAAGAACCCAACUCUGCUAAUAACCCAGUGAGCGACGUAAUGAAACCUCCAGAGCUUGCCCAUCAAUGCUAGCUGCCAACAGCUUAGCUUUUGUUUUGGUGUGUUUGUGUGGUUUUGAGGUGGCGCUAGGUCUCCCUAGCCAAGCUAGGCUCUCCCUAUGUGUUCAGUAAGUACUUUCUUAGCAAGAUACACUCCAUUCCCUGAAACUUGCUGAUUUCAGUUGAGGGGUAGCCCCCUGCUAUGAUCUUUAACUCUGUAAGAUAGUGUUACAGCUGCAUAAAUGUUACUAA